CAUUAUGUUAAAAAACGUGUUUUAAUCACACAACAUAAAACAUGUUCUUGAAUCAUGAUUUCUGCACAUUCAUGUUGUUUAUUUAUUUGUGUUAAAGCGUCAACAAGUGACAACACAGAGGAAGAAAACGAGUAGGAUUUUCAUCAGCAGGAAUAUGGAUGGUCGCCCCGGGUCCCCACGUGUUAAAGGAUGGUGGUGGUCCCGUUUCUCCCACCUUGUGUUUUCUUUUUUUUUCUCGGGGGGGUGAAAGAAUUACUUCCAGGGCACAUCAACUCGUUUCCUCAUCACCCUAACCCCCCAGCACCUCUUCCCAGCCCCUCCACAGGCUUCCAACAGCCCCACCAAGCCCGCAGGGUGAAUGUGUUUGUGCAGAGAGAGUGAGUAUGGGGGGUGGGGGAGCAAGAGUCUUCAAUAAUGCUGCCUUCAAGUGCAGCCCGCCUGCUCAUAUUUCAGAUUUAUAGGAAAAAUACGUUUGCCUUUGUAUUUACUGUUGGAGAUAAUAGUUUAUUUACCUCUAACUAAAUAUGCAGAUUUUUUGUAUGCCUGUUGAUUUAUUUAGCAAAUGAUUGACAUGAAAUAUACAAUGUGAGUCUAUACUUUGAGUGCAAGUGCUUGAUUUUUUAAAUUAAAUUAUUAAAUAAACAUUGUUAAAAUGUACUCUUUUAGCUGAUGUAUGACCACUGAAUAAAUGAAACUACAGCACCACAGAGAACUCCAGUUAUAUUUAAUCACAUUUUGUUUGGUAAUCAAUCGUGCAACCAUAGUUGUCACAUUUCCGACCGAACAUGAAAGCAUCAAAAGCCUUUUGGCGUGUUCAAUACAGAAGGAGCGGGGUAGAAAAUGCCUGUUGUUCAGAGGGAAAUGCCUCCUAAGCCACCAUAGGCUUACCUGUUGCUGCAGUGUGGUGAAGCAGUGAGUGAACAUGGUGUAGUGAGGCUUUUCCUGUCAGAGAAGCUGUGAGGACAGUCAUCAUGCUGGACCUAAACUCCGCAGCUUCUCAUGUGAGGAUGCUGCAAAACAAACUGACACUGGACAAGAAUAGAUGAUAGAGAGAAACACAAGGUUGAAGAUGGAUGAGACCAUCUAUGGAACCUUUCACAUGCAGAAACCGACAUGACAGCAGGGGCAGCCUCCAGAACAGCCACUCCCCUGCAUGUCUCUGGCUACCACACACCUAAUCAGUCCUGAUUAGAUGCACUGUAAGGGACAAGGAAGCCAGCCUUUCAGAAGUUAUGAUGACAGGACGGAAGAAAGCAAUGGGCUCCUUUAAAUAAAGCCUUCAUCAGGCAUUGAGCAGAAACAUCUGUGUCUGUUGAUGCCUGCUGGGUAUAACAGUAGUCAGAUCACCAACUAUUCCUCUGGUGUCAUCCCAAAUUACCUCUCCUUCCUUUAACACCCUUUACCUCACAGCUCCUCUUUUAACACCAUAGCUUCAUAAUCACACACUCUCAAGCCUCCAAAUAAAUACACACACAUGCACUUAUCAAGUUCUGGCAAGCAUUCUCAGCCCCAUCUACCCAAACCUAAGCGAUCCAAAAUCAGCAUCAGCGAAUACAAUGGCAAUUAGUAAGGGGGACAAUUUGUUCACAUCUGGAGUGUAUUUCCUUGCCACCAGAAUAACCAGCAAUCCUUUCUUUCAGGGCCUGGCGUGGUGGGAAAUGACUAUGUGUGUGUUUUUAUGUGUUUUGUUUAAAACAGAUGGGCGGUUUACAUUAGUGGAGAUGGGCGAUAAACAGCUUUGAAAGGAUUGGGGUGGGGUGGGGGGGGGGGGAGACACAAAGAGAGAGACACCACCAUCCCUUCCAGUUUUUACAGACAUUGGACUGAGGCACGUUGUGGACAUACAUUAUUUUCUCACUCAGUUUUGUUUGGGCCAGCAUUUCCUUAAUUAUAGCUGUGUAAAAAUAGGUUGUUACCCUAUAUAGUGUGUUUUAAUGAGCCAUGGGUCUCAGGGUGAGGCUAAAUUUAUUCUGUUUUUACCCAAAAGGCUUAAGAAUUUCUGCUUUCACCAGGGUUUAAAAUAUAAAUUAAUAUUUGGCUGUAAUUCUACCGUAAAUGCCCAGUGCCACAGCACGGCCAACAGCCAAGCAUAUUUACUUUAGCACAUACCCCAAAUGUCUAUGUGAUUACUGUGCAAAGCACAAAUGUUGCGCCACAUGCUAAUACCUGUUCAGAUGAUGUCAAACACAGUGGUGUUGCACUGAGAGAUAACCAGUGAUCACAUCCUGUGUAUAUCAUCCAACCACUGAGCAUCUGGUGUGUGAUAAUUUCAGGGUUCACACAGGCACAGCAAAGGUGGGGAAGUCUAUCUCAGCUGGGACCGACUCCUCUGUGAUGAGCUGGGGUAUCAGGUCACAGUCAGCCCACACCAGCGGUCUGCAGCAGGUUGAUAAGGUGGAUGGGUGGAACACAUCUAUGUCAUGAAGGCACGCUGCUGCCAAAGGGAGAUCCAAGCUGAGAGGAAACUAAAAAUAAUGACAAGAGUUUUAAGGGUUAGGUCAAGUUUUCUUAACAACUCUUAAUCUAAAUAAAUCUUCAAAACCUGACAUUAGAUAGAUUUCCUGACUUUCAUAUUCACUCUUAGUUUUAAUCUACAUCACUAAGGUAAGCUACAGCCAAAGGAGGACCCUGACUGGACAAAUAAAGAAAGACAUUUUU
Lates calcarifer (barramundi perch) is the source of this 2658-nucleotide long non-coding RNA. RefSeq lists it as uncharacterized. The transcript has 3 exons. Lineage: Eukaryota; Metazoa; Chordata; Actinopteri; Centropomidae. The record is from RefSeq and is a predicted model, not a curated record.